AUGCGCGCGCUAGCUGGUCCGCUGACUCCGACGACCCGCUGCCGUUCCGCAUCUAGAAGCAGGCCACGCCACCACGGCCGCGCCAUGCGCUGCUCCAUCAAACGUCACAUGCAACGACCAGCCCGUAAGAUAAGCGCAACCACGUCCAUGUCCACGUCGCGCGACCACGGCCGCCCUAUAAAGGCCGCCCGCGUGCCACCUGCACCGGUGGCGCCGCCCGCCUUUUCCACCCCGGUCCCUCCCUCUCUUCUACCUCCGGAUCCGCCACCUCCACUACGUUUUCCACCUCGUAAACAUUUCUCCCGUCUGCCGGCCGGAACGGGAGGACCUCGCCGUGGUUUCGCCGCAGAACAAGUUGAUUCGAUCGACGACAAGUCGCUGUCUUUGCCAACUUGGUUACAGAGAAUUUUCCACCGCGUGCGGCUUGAUUCAUGUGAACAAAGAGCGGCACCGAAUCGAAUCCAAUCCAAUCCAGUUGAAGACUUUCUCGCCGAGCUGGGCCGAUCGACGGGCAUGGACAUCGACAUGGAGGGUGGCUCGCAGCCGCAGCCGCAGGGCGCCUCGCUCUCGCCGGCGCCGUUCCUGAUCAAGACCUACGAGAUGGUGGAGGACCCGGCGACCAACCGCGUGGUGUCGUGGGGCCCCGGCGGCGCCAGCUUCGUGGUGUGGAACCCGCCCGACUUCUCGCGGGACCUGCUGCCCAAGUACUUCAAGCACAACAACUUCUCCAGCUUCAUCAGGCAGCUCAACACCUACGGUUUUCGGAAGAUCGACCCGGAGCGAUGGGAGUUCGCCAACGACGACUUCAUCAGGGGGCACAUGCACCUCCUCAAGAACAUCCACCGGCGCAAGCCGGUGCACAGCCACUCGCCGCAGACCCAGGUGAACGGGCCGCUGGCGGAGGCCGAGAGGCGCGAGUACGAGGAGGACAUCAGCAGGCUCAAGCACGAGAACAGCGUGCUCGUGGCAGAGCUCCAGAGGCAGGCGCGGCAGCAGUGCGGGCUCAGCUGGCUGAUGCAGUCGCUGGAGGACCGGCUGAUGGCGAUGGAGCGGCGGCAGGCGGACGUCGUCGCCUCCGUGCGCGACACCCUGCAGAGGAGACGGGGCGGCGUUCAUCCAGGGCAGCAGACCAUGCUGGAACUGGAGCCGACCGACCAUUUCAGCAAGAAGAGGAGGGUUCCGAGGCUCGGUUUCUUCGUCGAGGAGCCCGCGGCGGCAGCGGCCGAGGAGCAGCGGGUGCCGCAUCUGCGGGCGAUGGGUGGUGAGACGCCGGGCAUGGUCAUGGUGAACGCCGAGCCUUUUGAGAAGAUGGAGCUGGCCCUGGUCUCCAUGGAGAAACUCGUCCAGAGGGCAGGCGACUAUGCGUCCUCUGAAGACAUGUACAACGCCGCCGCCGCUGCACCCAGCACCGAUGAUCCGGCUCAUGCAGAUCUGCAGGCAGCACCAGUAAAUCUUCAGCCGUCUUCACCGGAGAUAGCAGAGUCUCCGGGUUACGCUGUCCAGAGUCCAAUGCUACUAUUCCCAGAAAUUCACGAGGACAAGCACAAGACGAUGGCCGAAGUUGACAUGAGCUCCGAGGCCAGCACCACAGACACUUCACAGGACGAGACGACCGCCGAGGCCGAGGCCGAGACCGGAGUUCCCCAUGAACCGGCCGUGGCGAACGAUCUGUUCUGGGAGCGGUUUCUCACGGACACGCCCAAGCCGCUAGCCGUCGAGGAUAGAAAUGAAUCCAAGGACGAUGUAAAGACCGGCCUAGACUGCUACUGGUUCGGUCACCGGAACAAUGUUGAACAGAUCACCGAGCAGAUGGGGCACCUCGCUUCUGCUCAGAAGACCUGA
RNAcentral lists this ribosomal RNA (1842 nucleotides) under Triticum aestivum (bread wheat). RNAcentral's name for it is "partial small subunit ribosomal RNA". Lineage: Eukaryota; Viridiplantae; Streptophyta; Magnoliopsida; Poales; Poaceae. The record is from RNAcentral.